This 25-nucleotide non-coding RNA is filed under the name Rattus norvegicus (Norway rat). Lineage: Eukaryota; Metazoa; Chordata; Mammalia; Rodentia; Muridae. The record is from RNAcentral.
UCCAGUAACUGAGGUUAGGGGCCUG